GGGAAUCAAAUGCGACAGCUCCAGCUCUACCCCCUUGUUACAAGGGUGAAGUUCGUUAGCAGCGUUCAGCUGCAAGGGUUCGAGUAGCUGACUGGAGGGAGUUGGGGCACGGCUCACCAUGUGGUAGCUAGCUAGCUACAUAGCGGCUCAGUCGUUGCGUGUCCAAGCUGUAGAACAACUUCCCAAGCGUGAUGCAAAGUGGAAACCCCGCCGAGAGUUCUCAUUUCAUUUCACCAGAGAGCAUAGAGCGCUGGAUAGGAGAUCCGCCCCCUUAUGGUGUAUGGGUUGGGAACAUGAGCUUAACAGAUACAAAAGGGUGAAAAUUCACUCACCCAAAUGCCGAAAUCAGGGGAUAGCGAAGGGAUUUUAUAAAUAAAUGUAUAUAAUAGUUAGCACAGAGUACGAGCAUAAGCAUACAAGAAAAAAGUGAUUAGCGCGCCUGCUCCACCGAAAAAAAGGCCUUCUUAAGACGCCAUCCAUCGCAAGAGAAAGUAACAAACUAAAGUCAUCCACCCAGCCAGCCAGACUCCAUAUGUGAAGAAAAGAAAGAGAAUCUCUGUUUGAGCGAUCCAGACGGACAGAGAAGAAAAAGAAGAAGAAAUAGAAAGAAAAAAAUCCCCGCAAGUCUCUCAUUCUGAUUUGAUUCCCUUUUCCUCUCUUGGAACAUCCGACUUAUCAUCCGAACCAACUUUAUUAUCCCAAGCCGAAAAAGCCCAGUGAUGAUAGUCAUUACUAUACGAAAACGCCAUAUUCAUUUUCACCGGCCAUUUAUUUUUCUUUUUCGUCAUGGAUUCCACGAAUAAUUUAAUUUCAACGGUGCUCUUAGCCCAUCCUCCCUUUCGCUUCUCCACCGACUCUUCCACUCCCACUCCCGGACGGCUGCUUCGCGGUAGGCAAUCUGGCAUUCACGUGGCAGCUCUGCAAGCACCUCGGGACUGGUGUGGAAGAGAGGAGUGUUCCUGCCAAGCGAUAUACUAAUUAACCCAUUCGAACCUAUAUCUCGUACAUCCCCAUCUGGGCCGGGAAGACCCAACGAGGACUCUGGUGGCGUUUCAUAGUAUAUGUCUUGGAUUUCAAAGUUGCGGCUGAAGAUAGCAGGUACGGAAGGGAAUAUUGUGGAUGAGGUUUUGGUGGAUUUGUCCGUUUCAACUUGGCUGGGAAGGUCAUUGGACGUUCGCUCCUUCACAUCAUCAACUGAGCUUGCUGGUGUCCCAUCCGUGACGCCAAGGGCAGCUGUUGAAGCGCUGCUGAUGAGCUGUGAUCUAUCUGCCCGUGUUGAUUCUGGCGGUGGGAUAAUUUCCCAUCGAACGUGGGUGGAUUGCAUGAUCCUAGGAUAUUGCAUGAUGUUUGUGUGGAUGUCGUAGUGGCCAUCAAGAUUUUCGCGGCGAGCUGCGAGGAGUGUAGAAUUGAACCGACUGUAGAUUAUUGAUUAGAAUUCGAUAUUGAUAAAAAAAUAUAUGUAAAACGAAGCGGACGAAGGCCGAGCCAUGGCAAUUUACCUUGCUUCCCUGGCAUGCUCAAUCAUCCAGUUAUCCCCCGUUACAAUCACCUUCCGUUUCUUGGGAUCUACAGUUUUUCCCAUUGGCAUGGGUACUG
Molecule: small RNA, 1596 nt
Filed under: Histoplasma capsulatum
Lineage: Eukaryota; Fungi; Ascomycota; Eurotiomycetes; Onygenales; Ajellomycetaceae
Also listed under: 1 other name
Description: hypothetical RNA
Source: RNAcentral